CCUACGGGUGGCAGCAGUAGGGAAUAUUGCUCAAUGGGGGAAACCCUGAAGCAGCAACGCCGCGUGGAGGAUGAAGUUUUUCGGAUUGUAAACUCCUUUUUUUAGAGAAGCUAAUGACGGUAUCUACCGCAUCAUCCACGGCUAACUCCGUUCCAGCAGCCGCGGUACUACGGAGGGUGCAAGCGUUACUCGGAAUCACUGGGCGUAAAGGGCGCGUAGGCGGGAUAGCAAGUCAGAUGUGAAAUCCUAUGGCUUAACCAUAGAACUGCAUUUGAAACUGUUAUUCUAGAGUAUGGGAGAGGUAGGUGGAAUUCUUGGUGUAGGGGUAAAAUCCGUAGAGAUCAAGAGGAAUACUCAUUGCGAAGGCGACCUGCUAGAACAUAACUGACGCUGAUGCGCGAAAGCGUGGGGAGCAAACAGGAUUAGAUACCCGAGUAGUC
Molecule: ribosomal RNA, 440 nt
Filed under: uncultured bacterium
Lineage: Bacteria
Description: partial 16S ribosomal RNA
Rfam family: Bacterial small subunit ribosomal RNA
Source: RNAcentral